This 253-nucleotide ribosomal RNA is filed under the name uncultured bacterium. RNAcentral's name for it is "partial 16S ribosomal RNA". It matches the Rfam family "Archaeal small subunit ribosomal RNA", at positions 474 to 727 of the family's 1478-position model. The record is from RNAcentral.
UACCAGCACCCCGAGUGGUCGGGACGUUUAUUGGGCCUAAAGCAUCCGUAGCCGGUUCUACAAGUCUUCCGUUAAAUCCACCUGCUUAACAGAUGGGCUGCGGAAGAUACUAUAGAGCUAGGAGGCGGGAGAGGCAAGCGGUACUCGAUGGGUAGGGGUAAAAUCCGUUGAUCCAUUGAGGACCACCAGUGGCGAAGGCGGCUUGCCAGAACGCGCUCGACGGUGAGGGAUGAAAGCGUGGGGAGCAAAAGGG